GUGGGGAAUUUUGGACAAUGGGCGCAAGCCUGAUCCAGCCAUGCCGCGUGCAGGAUGAAGGCCUUCGGGUUGUAAACUGCUUUUGUACGGAACGAAAAAGCUCUCUCUAAUACAGGGGGUGAAUGACGGUACCGUAAGAAUAAGCACCGGCUAACUACGUGCCAGCAGCCGCGGUAAUACGUAGGGUGCAAGCGUUAAUCGGAAUUACUGGGCGUAAAGCGUGCGCAGGCGGUUUUGUAAGACAGGCGUGAAAUCCCCGGGCUCAACCUGGGAAUUGCGCUUGUGACUGCAAGGCUGGAGUGCGGCAGAGGGGGAUGGAAUUCCGCGUGUAGCAAUGAAAUGCGUAGAUAUGCGGAGGAACACCGAUGGCGAAGGCAAUCCCCUGGGCCUGCACUGACGCUCAUGCACGAAAGCGUGGGGAGCAAACAGGAUUAGAUACCCCUGUAGUCC
This 450-nucleotide ribosomal RNA is filed under the name uncultured bacterium. RNAcentral's name for it is "bacterial SSU rRNA". It matches the Rfam family "Bacterial small subunit ribosomal RNA", at positions 354 to 796 of the family's 1533-position model. The record is from RNAcentral.